UGAUCGGGCGCCAGGGCAGCAAGAUCAGCGAGAUCCGGCAGAUGUCAGGGGCACACAUUAAGAUCGGGAACCAAGCGGAGGGUGCUGGGGAGCGGCAUGUGACCAUCACUGGCUCACCGGUCUCCAUUGCCCUGGCUCAGUACCUCAUCACUGCCUGGGCCACCGCCGGGCUUGGCGGCCUACACUGCCAAGAUGGCAGCGGCCAAUGGGAGCAAGAAAGCUGAACGGCAGAAAUUCUCCCCCUACUGAGGCCGGCUGAGGCACAGGCGGGGGCAGGCAGGACCGCCGGCAGGGGCUGCCUCUACAUCCUUCCUGCCCAAGGAGACUCCACCACGGGGUCUCAAGCGCCAGUAAUGCCAGACGCAUGGAUGCACCCCCUACCCUGCCCCAUCUUUGGAGAUCCUCCUCAGAGAGGGGACAGUUCCUGGCCCAGGGUUCUAGGAGUUUGGCAGCCCCAGAGCAGGGGCUCCACCCCUUCAGACCUAUGCUUGGAUGCAGGGAGUAGCUGGGGCCUCCCCAGUGCCCUGCCGUGGGAGGGGCUACUCGUGUCCUCUCCAUCCCUUUGGGCUUCUUCCUGCUGCCCCAGUGGGAAUUGGAGGAGAGUGAGGGGUGGCUGGGGCCAAGCUUCUCUUCAUCCCCUGCAGAUCCUGCUGCUUCCACUGAUACCCUUUUGACUGGAAUAGACUGGCUGGGCUUGUCCGGGGGGCAACCCAAAGAGAGGGCUCUGCCUAUAGCAGGGGGUGUGGCCUGGGGGGCAGGGGCCCAGUUCUCAGCAGCAGACACUCUGUACAGUUUUUUUCAAUCCCCGUUUUUGAAUAAAUAUUCUCAGCGACCAGAAAG
Molecule: long non-coding RNA, 840 nt
Filed under: Rattus norvegicus (Norway rat)
Lineage: Eukaryota; Metazoa; Chordata; Mammalia; Rodentia; Muridae
Description: long non-coding RNA NONRATT028008
Source: RNAcentral